UUUCCUCUUAAAUCCGUCACCUGCUGAAGGGCAGAGGAAAGAACCUCCUGCACAGGAAGCACCGGAGAUUUGACUUUAAACUGGAAAGGGACAAAGUCCAAAUUCCUCCUUUAUCACAGCCCAGGUGAUGCAGAAUCCAGCAGUGCCCCUUCACCUGCCUUUAUUCUGAUCACAGGGGUGGGAAGGACAGGCCCUCAACACAUGGCAUUUUGUGGGAUGGUUCUGGGGUGGUUCCCCCAUGGUUUGGGCUGAUUCCCCUGGAUUUUGUGGAGUGGUUCCCUUGGAUUUUGUGGGGUGGUUCCCCCUGGAUUUUGUGGAGUGGUUCCCCCAUGGUUUGGGCUGAUUCCCCUGGAUUUUGUGGGGUGGUUCCCUUAGAUUUUGUGGGGUGCUUCCCCUGGCAGUGCUGUGCAGUUCCUUGGCUCCAUCCCCACCCCACCCUUUGGGAAGUGCUGCCCACCUGCAGCCCAGCACAUCCCUCUGCUCUCCCACCUUUCUGCUGGAAGCCAAAAUGUGGCCUUGGCCACCUAAUUAAACCAUAAAUAACUCUGACCUCCUUAAAUAUCUAUUUAAAAGUGAACGGCAAUGCUAAAAUGUGAAUUUCGUGGAGCCUGGAAGUACAGGGAAACAUUUAUCACAGAAAUAACAAGUUUUUAAGUUGUCUUUCCUUGUAAAAUGUGCUGGGAAGGAGGGGAUGUGACACUAAAGCCUCUGACAGACCCAAACAGGGCUGGUAUUGAGAGUUUUGAUGUGAAAAAAAUGAUGGAUUUUGGUGCAUCAGCAUCAGAAAAGCUUUCUUGGUGAAGGAAAUUGUGAAAUACUCUUUCUUGGGUUAAUCUUGGUGGGGGAUUUUUUUUCUGUUUUAUUAAUUCUCAACAAACAAAUUUGUCAGCAUCACUAAAGUCUGUAACUGCCUUGAUUAGUACAAAGAGAUUAAGAAAUGGUGUGAAAAGAACCUGAAUUCUGCCUUCAGGGCACUCGGGGGCUGUGGCAAGGUGAGGGUUAAGGGAAAUCUCCUUUUUCCCCGGUGCUGUGUGUCAGUCACAGAGCUGACCUGCAGUGAUGUAACACAAUAUGGACACCCAGGCUUUUACCAAAUGUCACUUUGAAACAAAGCAUGUGCUUUUAGAGAAAGUUGUUUGUUUUAACUGAGCCCAAAAUUAAGCAUUCAUCAUCUUGUCUCCUGUACAGCACAUUGUUCUAGUUUGGAAAAAAAAAUUGAAACUAAGCCAUAUGCUGAAAGGGGGAAAAUUCAGAAAAAUUUCCUCACUUUUCAUCCAGUCUGUGCCUCGAUUUUUUGAGCUUCAAGGGGAGGAAAAAUGUAAUUGCUGCAGACAGGGUAAAGAUGGUAGUUGCUAUUCCCAGUGCUUUACACAGAGUAGG
RNAcentral lists this long non-coding RNA (1380 nucleotides) under Taeniopygia guttata (zebra finch). Its description in RNAcentral is "lncRNA (ENSTGUG00000019403.1)". The record is from RNAcentral. Lineage: Eukaryota; Metazoa; Chordata; Aves; Passeriformes; Estrildidae.